RNAcentral lists this ribosomal RNA (443 nucleotides) under uncultured bacterium. Its description in RNAcentral is "partial 16S ribosomal RNA". It matches the Rfam family "Bacterial small subunit ribosomal RNA", at positions 338 to 795 of the family's 1533-position model. The record is from RNAcentral.
CCUACGGGAGGCAGCAGUGGGGAAUAUUGGGCAAUGGGCGCAAGCCUGACCCAGCAACGCCGCGUGAAGGAAGAAGGCUUUCGGGUUGUAAACUUCUUUUCUCAGGGACGAAGCAAGUGACGGUACCUGAGGAAUAAGCCACGGCUAACUACGUGCCAGCAGCCGCGGUAAUACGUAGGGGGCAAGCGUCAUCCGGAGUUACUGGGUGUAAAGGGCGUGUAGGCGGGACUGCAAGUCAGAUGUGAAAACCACGGGCUCAACCUGUGGCCUGCAUUUGAAACUGUGGUUCUUGAGUACUGGAGAGGCAGCAGGAAUUCCUGGUGUAGCGGUGAAAUGCGUAGAUAUUAGGAGGAACACCAGUGGCGAAGGCGGUCUGCUGGACAGCAACUGACGCUGAGGCGCGAAGGCGUGGGGAGCAAACAGGAUUAGAUACCCGGGUAGUC